RNAcentral lists this long non-coding RNA (798 nucleotides) under Homo sapiens (human). Its description in RNAcentral is "HSALNT0342981". Lineage: Eukaryota; Metazoa; Chordata; Mammalia; Primates; Hominidae. The record is from RNAcentral.
UUCUGCCUCAGCCUCCCAAGAAGCUAGGACUACAGUCUGAAGUCUGAAAUGGGUCUCAAGAAGCUAAAAUCAAGAUGUUAGUAGAGUUGUGUUCCUUCUGAAAACCCUAGUCACUCCUGUAGCAGACUCCAGGAGAAGAGAAGUCACAAAGACGACUGGUUUUUGCCUUGAUGGAGCUUACAGUCUAGAAGAGAAGAUAGAUAUUAAACAAAGUCUUCACCUACAAUGAUGGGAAGACUACAAAAGGGAAGUGAACGUUUUAUUAGAGCAAUUAAUGGAGAAUUAAUGAAUUAAUUUGGGUAUAAGACUGUAGUGUCAAAGAAAGCCUCCCUAGGGAAGAAAUGUUUCAAGUGUAACUUGGGAAAUGAGUAAGAGUUGACCAGUGAACUGGAGGCAGAGUGAUUCUGGCAUAGAAAAAAAGCUCAUGCCAGUUCUUUAGGGUAUUCAUAAAACCAAAGGAAAGGUUGAAUAUCUAAAGGGAGAUGUGUUUAGGGAGGGUGGCAUAAAAUGAGACUGGAAAAAUGAUCAGAGGCCAAAUAUCAAAGGGUCUUAAAGAUGAAUUUUUAGAGUCAGAUAGGGUGAUACUAAUAUUAGGUUGGUGCAAUAGUAAUUUAAUGGCAAAAACUCCAAUUACUUUUGCACCAACCUAAUAUUUAUGUGAAACCAUGAUUGUCCUGACUUGGUGAGAUUUUUUUAAAGCAAAGUUUCUAUAACUUCCUAAUUCUAGUUUAUGUUUAUUCUCUUCAAAAGCAUACGUUAUUUAUUUAUUUAUUUAAUUAAUUUUAUUUUAUUUUGAGA